UACGUAGGGUGCGAGCGUUGUCCGGAAUUAUUGGGCGUAAAGAGCUUGUAGGUGGUUUGUCGCGUCUGCUGUGAAAACCCGAGGCUCAACCUCGGGCCUGCAGUGGGUACGGGCAAACUAGAGUGCGGUAGGGGAGAUUGGAAUUCCUGGUGUAGUGGUGGAAUGCGCAGAUAUCAGGAGGAACACCGAUGGCGAAGGCAGAUCUCUGGGCCGUAACUGACGCUGAGGAGCGAAAGCAUGGGGAGCAAACAGG
This 253-nucleotide ribosomal RNA is filed under the name uncultured bacterium. Its description in RNAcentral is "partial 16S ribosomal RNA". It matches the Rfam family "Bacterial small subunit ribosomal RNA", at positions 524 to 776 of the family's 1533-position model. The record is from RNAcentral.